Molecule: long non-coding RNA, 529 nt
Organism: Labeo rohita (rohu)
Lineage: Eukaryota; Metazoa; Chordata; Actinopteri; Cypriniformes; Cyprinidae
Exons: 3
Source: RefSeq, a predicted model, not a curated record
ACACGUUAAGUCUCGCAACUCGCGGUCAUCCCGUUCACGGAGGAUCAGUGUAUGUCACGUAAACUCUGAACGGUGCUGUUAAAGCGGUUAACGUAAGCAGUGAAGAUGUGCGAGAACCUUUGAUAACUUGCUACUUCGCUUAAUUGUUUGAUUGUAGUGCUUUUUUCUAACUUUGGUUUAAAGAAUGAGUUAAUCCAGCCCAUCUUCCUGUCUGGCUUUUUCGCAGCAUAUAUUCACUCCGAAGUAACUUUCCCAGGAGGAGACAGAUGGAGAUUUCGAGUUCAUUCAAAGGUAUUUACGAGGAGCAAAGAUGUUGAAAGGAAAAGUUCCAUCUAAAACCACAGGGCAAAUGGUACAGAAGAAACCGGUUGAAGUGAACUCAAGUUGCCACUCUUCUUUGCAAAGUGAAGGAUUUUCAUUGGAAUUUCUAAAUCUGUUUCAGUGACUGGCGGAAACAAAAGGAGCCUGAAAGAAGAGAGAGAGAAGAGGGAGAAACAAGUGGGGCAUUACAUAUCCAAAAAAAAAAAAA